UGUAGAAAAAGGAAAUAUGGCGGCGUUAGACAUGUGAUGGAGUUAUUUUUCGCUAUAUCGACCACUGAGGUCAUAAUCAAUGAAGAACAUUCAUCAAGGAAUGAAGAGUAAAAAUUUCAUACUACCAUACUUGAAGUCUGUCGUUAUAAAUCCUUGGUUAAAUAACUAGAGGCAGAUAAAAUGGGCUCCAAAGUCAAGGUGGCUGUGAGAGUUCGGCCAUUAAACCGGCGAGAGAUUGACCUUGGAGAUAAAGUCGUGGUUGAUAUGGUGGAUGGAAAUCAAACUGUACUUCAUUCUCCAGACAAGAAGCAAUCUAAGAACUUUGCCUUUGAUCACUGCUUCUGGUCUAUUGAUUCUGCCAAUGAGGAAAAGUAUGCAGCUCAAGAUAAGGUCUUUGAUUGCCUUGGCAAGGAUGUAUUGGUUAAUGCAUUUGAAGGCUACAAUGCUUGUAUAUUUGCCUAUGGACAGACAGGGUCUGGUAAAACAUAUACCAUGAUGGGAGUACAGAAUGAUAAAGGAAUCAUACCAAGACUAUGCGACAAUCUGUUUACUGGAAUAUCAGAGAACACAACGCAAGACAUCACUUACAAAGUAGAAGUAUCUUACAUUGAAAUCUACAAUGAAAGAGUUCGGGAUUUGCUUUGUCCCAGAGGAGGUAACACAGCUCUGAGGGUAAGGGAACAUAAAGUACUUGGACCAUACGUGGAGGGCUUAACCAAACUUGUUGUCUCGUCCUAUGAGGAUAUCGAAGCCAUCAUGGUAGAAGGGAACAAGUCACGUACAGUAGCAGCUACGCGCAUGAACACUGAAAGUAGUAGAUCACAUGCUGUCUUUAAUAUCGUACUGGCACGAACAGAAUAUGACCACGAUACAGAGUGUGUUGGCGAGAAAGUUAGUAAGCUGAGUCUUGUAGACUUGGCUGGCAGCGAAAGAGCCAGUAAAACAGGUGCUGAAGGAGAAAGACUGAAAGAAGGAAGCAAUAUUAAUAAAUCACUAACUACACUAGGACAAGUAAUAUCAAGCCUAGCUGAUCAGUCUUCAGUCAAACACCAUAAAAAAGGAGUGCAUUUUGUCCCUUAUCGAGACUCCGUUCUUACGUGGUUACUCAAGGAUAAUCUUGGUGGUAAUAGCAAGACUGUGAUGAUAGCUACCGUUAGUCCUUCAUCUGAUAACUAUGAAGAGACACUAUCCACGUUAAGAUACGCAGACCGCGCCAAGAGAAUCGUCAAUCAUGCUGUCGUCAAUGAAGAUCCUAAUGCUAGGAUCAUCCGCGAGCUUCGCGAAGAAGUCGAGCGGCUAAAACAGUUACUACAGUUGAAGAUUGCUGGCAAGUUAUCACCUGAAGAUGCUGGGGAGUUUGAGAUCCAGGAACAGUUAUCAGAGAGUGAGAAACUGAUGAAAGAGGCGACGAUGUCUUGGGAACAGAAAGAGAAACAAACAGAACAAAUUAUGCAGGAACGACAUAAAGCCUUGGAGGAAAUGGGUAUCUCAGUCCAGUCUUCAGGAAUAGCAGUCGAGAAAAACAAAUUUUAUCUAGUGAACCUGAACGCAGAUCCAUCCAUGAAUGAGCUGCUUGUCUAUUACUUAAAGGACCAUACUAAAAUUGGACGUCUGAACCCUAACCUACCUCCCCCUGAUAUCCAGUUAGGAGGUCUUGGUAUUCUACCUGAACACAGUACUAUGGAUAUUGAAGGCAAUGAGGUUUACCUAACUCCUAUGCCCAAUGCCAGGACAUUCGUUAACGGCAAAGAACUGAAAGAUCGAACGUUAUUAAAACACGGUGACAGAAUCCUCUGGGGGAAUAAUCACUUCUUUAGAAUUAACUGUCCACGGCUACCAGGCAGUGAGGUCCAGCCUGAACAACCAGUAGACUUUUUGUCUGCACAGCAUGAGUUGAUGAUGAACCAAAUCCAUCAAGGUCCAUUACAUGAAUCGAUAAAAGCGUUAGAGGAGCAGUACCAGGCUGAUAAACAAGGUGCAUUGGAAAAACAAAGACUGAUGUACGAAGAAAAAAUCGAAGAGCUUCGAAGUCAAGUCCAAACCAACCCACUUGGUAACAAAUUCACUGACAGAACAUGGAGUGUGGGGUCAUUCAGCUCUGGGUACGGGUCACGUAUGUCAUGGUACGAGGAUAGAGACACGCCAAUGAAUUACAUCGACAAACCAGAACAGCGUCCUCUUGUUUUAAAAGAAGAGGUAUUGAAGGCGAAUACUCUUGUCAGGGAAGCUAAUCAACUGAGCGAAGAAAUGAACAAGGACACGGAGUUCGCAGUCACUUUGCAGAUCCCGACAUCGAGUCUAAGUUUUGGUCGCAGUCGUUCAGGAUUCAGUAGUGAAGUUGCUAUUGUUGUGAAACACAAAUCUAGAGGAACACAAAUUUGGUCUCUGGACAAACUAGAGAACAAGAUAUUCGACAUGAGAGAACUAUACAACCAGUGCGUUGAUGAGGGGAUUGCGUUUAAUAGCAAGGAGGAUAACACGGAUCUUUUCUUUGAGGUGGAAUGUCACACUCUUAUUGGUGUGUGUAACGUGUUCUUAGAAUGUUUAUUACAUGAUGUUAGUCACGAGUAUGCUGCACCUAUCAUCAGCCAGCAGGGAGAGGUUUGUGGUCGACUUAAAGUUGAAGUUACUCGUGUUACUGAUAAGGGCUCCGAUAGCGAAUCGAUUGAAUCCGAGGACGGACGAGAAAGCCCCGAAGAUGAACCGGAGAUCGACGAUGACGAUGAAAUAGAAGAGUUUCAGCUUGGUAAUCGCAUGGAAGUGUGUGUACGCGUGAUUGAGGCGUUUGACCUUCCUCCUGCCUUGUGUAACUACGUGUUCUGUCAGUACCAGUUAUGGAAAGAUAAGGAUACCGUCGUGGUCCCGCCUAUUAAUGCCAGUAUUUCACAUCCAGGACCAAAAACUAACACUAUGAUCUUUGAAAACAAACAAUCUUUUGACAUCGAGAUCACUGAAGAUUUCCUGGAAUACGCAUCAGAAGGCUCACUUGCUAUUGAGGUGUGGGGGAACAGAAGUCAAGGCUUUGAUAGCACUCACAAGAUGAACUGGAAUUAUAAUGUGGAAGCUCCUCAGAAAGGACUUCAUGACAGGUGGCACGAACUUGUUCGUAAAUUGGAACUGUGGUUUGAAGUACACGAGAUCAACGACCAAGGAAUCUACGCCCCUGUUGAACUAAACAUACGCGAGGGUAGAGAAACUGGAGGAGUAUUCCAGCUACGACAAGGUCACUCGCGUCGUCUAGUAGUCAAGGUCAACCCUGUACCGAAGUCUGGGGCACUUCCUGUAGUAUGCAACACUAUAUCUAGUGUGUCUAUUGGAAGCAUAUGUGUCAGGAAAAAACAUUUGUUGGGACUUGACAGCUACCAAGAAAAGGAUUUGUCACUGCUACGUGAGAAGUGGUCAAACUCGUUGAUGAAGAGACGUGAAUAUCUUGAUCAACAAAUUCACUCUUCAAUGGGAAACCAAGAUAAGUCAGUAGUGGAUAAAGAACGCGAGAGCUGGUUAAUAGACCAGUGGGUUUGUCUUACUGAAGAACGUAAUGCUGUUCUCUGUCCUCUUCCUGGGAGUGGAAUACCAGGAUCACCGCAACCUGAUGAAGAUUUGAUUCGCCAAGGUCUGGAAGCACAUAUCCCUGUUAUUUUCCUCGAUUUGAAUGAUGAAUUUAGAAACGGGGCCGCAGACGACGCUUCUCCAGCUGGUGUAGAUACGACUCUAUCAUUUGAAAACCCUGAUAAUAUGAUAGAGUUGCCUAUAAUUAAAUACGACCAGAAACAGGUAUCUGCUACCGCGUCAUGGGACUCGUCUAUCCAUGAUGCCAUCGAACUGACGAGAGUAACUGGAUCGAACGAAAUGGUUUAUCUUAUAGUAAAGGUCGUAGUUGGACUGUCUAGCCCUGUAACGAUGGAGUUGGUUCUUCGGAAGAGAAUUUGCAUUAGAAUAUACAAGAAACAGAGUUGGAAGGACAGCCUCUUAAGAAGGCUAACAAAGGAAUAUCGACAUACCUGUGGUGUGGUUUACGAGCUCGUUUCGCACAUACCUCGGCAACCAGGAGAGGAGACAGAAGAGCGAGCGAGUCUAGCGCAAAUGGCCGCUCAAGCUGUUGGCGAAGAAGAAGAAGACGAAACGGUUCUACGGCGAUACAGUAAAGGGAUAUCAAACGUCGAAAGCUUGUUGGCACUUGACAAACUGAGACAGGAAGUUGUUGUGAAAGAAAAGUUAGCUGCCAUUGGUAAACCUCUAAGGAAGUUUGCUAGUACGCCCAACUUAGCGGCAGCGUCUGACUUCUCUUUUGGAACCAGUCCUGGUCGCUUUGAUUCCCCAGACACCAAUCGGCUAUUCGAUUUUAGGGGCAAUGUAUCCAGAGGACGCGAGGAUUUAUUGAUUGAUUUAUCGUCAUCCUACUCCUCCCCUUUGAGUAGUGGAGCAGGGGGAGUCGUCUUACGUGAACGAACCGCAAGAACUCCUAAUUCACGGCCAAGCUCUCUUCUCCUCGAGUUAGAAACUUUAAAAGAAGAUUCCAAGGAAGAUAAAAGCUCAGCCUCGCCAAGUCCUCGUGUUCCCCUUGUGCUUUUCGAUUUCAAUGGCUCUAAAUCAGUAGCUUCCGACGGCACUAUCAGUCCGACGGACAACCUCCGACAGAGAACAGCGAGUUCCGAUACGAUCACUUACGACGAUAAUGGACCGACGGUAUACGACGAUUUGCCGACGCCGACUCCAUUUACAUUACCGAAAAAGUUGAGCCUUCCUGCAAAGGCAGAAAACAUGAGUGCUGAUUUUCUCUCAACAAAAACUGAUGAUGUAUUAGAUUUAAGUUCGACGAAAAACGAGGAGUUUAAACCGGAUUCUACAUCUCAAAAAGGUGAUAAUUUGAUUUUAGAUUUAUUGAACAAUGAUAAAGGCGAGCUGUCGCUUGUCGAUCUUGAAAAUGUCAGUGUUACGAAUGACCAGGAAGCGAGUCUUCUCGAAGCAACGGCCAUUCCACCAAACCAGGUUAGUGCGGAAGGAGCUCGCAAUCUAUCUCCGUAUCUAAACUCAAGUGAAUUACAGCCCAUGGGCAAGAAAAACGAUUCGGAUGAAAAUUUCAUGGAUGAUGGCAGGGACGAGUUGUCUACCUCAAGGGAUGACUUAUCGUCUUUAGGAAGUCGCGAAGACUUGACCUCAUCCUUUGAUAGCAUGAACGAGGAAUGGGAUGAUGAAAGUGUCAGUCACUUACGGUCUGGUAUGGCUGUAAGACUUGCUGAAGGUAAAACUGGCGUCAUCAGGUUUAUUGGUCAGACUAGAUUUUCUCCUGGUGCGUGGAUCGGAGUGGAGCUCGAUAAGCCUGGAGGAAAAAAUGAUGGCUCCGUUAAAGGUAUUCGAUACUUUGCCUGUAAACCAAGAUUCGGUUCAUUUGUCCGCCCCGACAAGGUUACUCCAAUUGAGCACAGUGCUCGAGAACGAACCACGUCCCGCAAGUUUACGGGAUCCCGGGAUAACACCUCGAGAACCGCGUCUAACAGAGGCCUAGACAAAACCGAAAGCACAUCUCGUACAUCUCUUGUAAAAAAUGCCGCCAAACGACGGACUGAGAGUCCCACGAGAGGUCGUACCGAUAGUCCCGUCGGAGAAUCCCGCACUGCGGGACGGGUCGAGAAUACGCCUAGCCCCGUAGUAAGGCGCGAGAAUGCCGCUGCAAAUCGUAAAAAGAACGACUGGAAAAGACGGUCAAAUAUUUUAUUUUAAAUUCGGGAAUUUAUUCGAUAAUUGAAGGCAUAAACCUUCAAUAGCAAAUCAAUAAUUGGAACGCUUUAGUAUGGUAAGAUCAGCGAAGGGGAACUCCUGAACUAAAUCGGGGAAAUCGUACGAUAGCAAUGUCUCCUGGUUUAAACACGUCAAAUGAUUGAAUAUCUGGUGGUGUAUCAGCACCUCUUCGAUGAUCUUAUGAAGGAUCUCCCAGAAGACCCUGUGAAAGCAUCCAAUAAUACGAGAAUGAUCCGAUAGCGUAUCUACCUCACGGUUUGAGCGUCGAUAACUCCUUCACGAGGUCAAAUACGAGAAUAUUCCGAUAGCGUAUCUACCUCACGGUUUGAGCGUCGAUAACUCCUUCACGAGGUCAAACACGAGAAUAAUCCGAUAGCGUAUACAUGUACGUCAAGGUUUGGGGAACGUUGAUGUCUGCUUCACGACAAACAUUGAACAGGAUGAAGGUCAAAUACGUUAAUUUAAUGCAUGGUUUUUUUAUUUGUUUAUGUGGGGAUUUUAAGAUCAUUCUUCAUUUUAAUUGUUUUAUUUUAUUUCUUAGACAGUAAUAGUUAAUUGGGUUCAUAUUUUAUGGCCCAAAGUGUUUUUUAGCACUUAAGGUGUUUUCUACAGAUCCACUUUUUUGGUGUUCGCUGAGGUAAUGAUUUUGAAACGUUUGUUAACAACAACAAUAACCCAAAUAACAAAAAUACUACCAUUAGCAUCAACAACAACCAAAAUAAACGCACUAGCAUCAUCGCCAUCGCCAUCAAUUACGAAGAUAACCACAAUCAAAAUAACAAAAAACAAAGAAAAAUAUAACAUUGCGAACAACAACAACAAAAACAGAAUUAGCACACUACCGUCAUCACAAUCCAUAACAAUAACUACAAUCAAAAUAACAACAACAAUACUACCAUUCCAAUACCACCACCAACAACCACAACGAUGACCAAUACCUCAACAGCAACAAAUGACAUUGAUUAAACGAUAGCAAUAACAAAAAUGAUAACAAUAACGACAACUACAUCAAUAACACUAUAGAAACGAUAAUACGACAAUGUCAGUCACAACAACGACAAAUCUUAGCCAAGAGUUAGAGCAGUUUUCGUAUGACUGUGAAAACCUCACAGCAUAAACACAGUCGUGACACUGCAAGGGAUACGCCAGACCAAUCACACUGCUCGAAAAUUUACUCUCCAUCCAAUCAAAUACCCGGAACACGGCGUUGACACGGUCACACCAAGGUCACGGCACUGUCAGACCAAUCACAAUGCGCGAGAAAAAAAUCAGCCAAUCCAAAUUCUAGAAACCACGGUCACGGCAAGGCACGCAUACGGAACUGAGCUUUUCACAGUCAUACGAAAACUGCACUAACAAGAAUAAUAGCAAUAACAUCAAAAGAUAUAACUUUCAGCUGACACCAAAAAGAGCGAAGGACCUGAACACAAACAUAGAAUAAUAGAAAAAAAAUACAAUAAGAUUUCAAUUGUAAAUAGCUUAUAGAUAAAGGUUAGGAACAAGGCGGGAUUUGCAUUCCAGCUCUUAAACUGUUUACUCUAAGAAAGCCAUAGAAAAUAUGCAGCAGUCGAAAAAGUGGAAAGUUAAAAAUUGGUAGACGACAUCGUUCUGAACAACUCGUUCUUAUGGCUCUUAAUUGGUUAAGAAGAGCAAUAGCGCAUGUUUAGUUAUCUACAACGGGUCGUAUCACGUCGUAUUUACUAUAGGUCACGUGACUAUCCGCGUCUGCCAUUAUGAUAGACAAUACAGUACUAGUAUUGGACGUUUUUUAGAAUUUAUUCUCAUAUCACGAUCAGUUUUUUAUUACAGAAUCAUAUGUUCUCUUAAUAAUUUACAAAUACGAUAAACACUUACGAAGUUAAGGCUGAGUUAAGGGAAUUUAGUAUUAAAAAAACACGCAAAGGUAUGGUCCUGUUGCUGGGUUUCAAUCCGCUUAUAAAAGUCUUUGGAUCUCAUCUGUUCCGAAUGAUGGUCAAACACUGACCAACAUGUGCUUGCUUUCAGCCAGAAAAAAUUCUAUAAAAACAUUGCAAAAGAUAUUUUCCAAGAUGCGUGAGCGUUGUCAAAAGUAUCGCUUGCUCAGAUUCGAAAGCGAGGAGGAUUAAUAUUCUUUCCUUCAAGGGUUUUUUUGAACGUUGUCCAAAAAUUCCUCGUUUUUCAUGUCUGCGCCUACGAUAUUGAUGAAAGCGCCCGCUCAUCUCGGAAACCAUCUAUUCAGCUGAUGAACAUUGAGAAACCCAGCAAUAGAUACUGACCAUGAUAAUGGAGUCUAUAUUUCACGAAUCGGAUAGUUCGAGUGUUUUUCAUGUUUCUGCGGCCCAAAGACAACUCCGUACGGUGUUUCUAAGUUUUUGGUUUCGUUUCAAAUUUACAACGGCCUCGUAAGGCGCGAUUACAUAGAGCAAUUUUCUCUGCAACUUGUUUCGCAACAGCGUUGCGAUGCUCCGUGCAACUUGCCGGUGUCGCAACAUUUUUUCGGGCCAAGUUGCAGAGAAAAUUGUCGCUCCGUGUUACUGAGCUUUUAGUCAGUAAACUUUGUGAGGACUUGCUAGGGAAAAUUGGUUAUCCCUUUUUGUCUAACCAAGGAUCUGCCUUGGUCGCAAAAACUUGAAAACUGCUCCAUAAACGAGAGGAUUUUUCGAAUGAGCGGGAAACGUACAUUUUAAAUCUUUAACCAAUCAAACCAAUCAAAAACCGAGAUAUACCCUCGGCCAAUCACAGUGCCCGGAAGCCAUUUAAGUGCAGCCACUUUGCGUUUCCCUCUCGUACUAAAUUUCCUAAAAGGAAUUUUCUCAACUUCUACAUCCUAUUAUAAAUUUUUUCGGAGCGAUCACGAUAUUAUUUUAAACGCUAAAAAUUUGAAUAUCCAAAGACCAUUGGAUGCAAAAAGAAAAUUAAAUAAAGACCGAGUAGAGGUCUAAUCAGUUUUUUUAAUAUUUAGGAGAAAAGGGGUAGGGAUAUACGAAGAUAUUUUGCUACAUUAUUGCAAUAGAAAUAGAAUAAAUGAAUCGAGUAAUAAACCAAGUCUUUCUUAACGAAGAAUCUUCGAAUGGUUUUCUUGAUAAGACUUCGACAAGUAAAAAUGAAUUAAGUAAAUAAAAUCGUGAAAAACAUCAAA
RNAcentral lists this unclassified non-coding RNA (8857 nucleotides) under Actinia tenebrosa (Australian red waratah sea anemone). Its description in RNAcentral is "kinesin-like protein KIF13A, transcript variant X3". The record is from RNAcentral. Lineage: Eukaryota; Metazoa; Cnidaria; Anthozoa; Actiniaria; Actiniidae.